GACGAACGCUGGCGGCGUGCCUAAUACAUGCAAGUAGAACGCACAGUUUAUACCGUAGCUUGCUACACCAUAGACUGUGAGUUGCGAACGGGUGAGUAACGCGUAGGUAACCUGCCUGGUAGCGGGGGAUAACUAUUGGAAACGAUAGCUAAUACCGCAUAAUAUUGAUUAUUGCAUGAUAAUUGAUUGAAAGAUGCUAUUGCAUCACUACCAGAUGGACCUGCGUUGUAUUAGCUAGUAGGUGAGGUAACGGCUCACCUAGGCGAGGAUACAUAGCCGACCUGAGAGGGUGAUCGGCCACACUGGGACUGAGACACGGCCCAGACUCCUACGGGAGGCAGCAGUAGGGAAUCUUCGGCAAUGGACGAAAGUCUGACCGAGCAACGCCGCGUGAGUGAAGAAGGUUUUCGGAUCGUAAAGCUCUGUUGUAAGAGAAGAACGGGUGGGAGAGUGGAAAGUUCACACUGUGACGGUAUCUUACCAGAAAGGGACGGCUAACUACGUG
This 505-nucleotide ribosomal RNA is filed under the name uncultured bacterium. RNAcentral's name for it is "partial 16S ribosomal RNA". It matches the Rfam family "Bacterial small subunit ribosomal RNA", at positions 28 to 507 of the family's 1533-position model. The record is from RNAcentral.